Molecule: ribosomal RNA, 258 nt
Filed under: uncultured Basidiomycota
Lineage: Eukaryota; Fungi; Basidiomycota
Description: partial 18S ribosomal RNA
Rfam family: Eukaryotic small subunit ribosomal RNA
Source: RNAcentral
AAGCUCGUAGUUGAAUUUCGAAUGUGGCUGGGCGGUCCGCCUCACGGUGUGUACUGUCUGGCUGUGUUCUCUUUCUUGGUGAGCCGGCAUGCCCUUUACUGGGUGUGUUGGGGAACCAGGACGUUUACCUUGAGAAAAUUAGAGUGUUCAAAGCAGGCCUACGCCCGAAUACAUUAGCAUGGCAUAAUAAAAUAGGACGUGCGGUUCUAUUUUGUUGGUUUCUAGAGCCGCAGUAAUGAUUAAUAGGGAUAGGUUGGG